This 1408-nucleotide ribosomal RNA is filed under the name Paenarthrobacter aurescens. RNAcentral's name for it is "bacterial SSU rRNA". It matches the Rfam family "Bacterial small subunit ribosomal RNA", at positions 44 to 1410 of the family's 1533-position model. Lineage: Bacteria; Bacillati; Actinomycetota; Actinomycetes; Micrococcales; Micrococcaceae. The record is from RNAcentral.
GGGGCUUACACAUGCAGUCGAACGAUGAUCCCAGCUUGCUGGGGGAUUAGUGGCGAACGGGUGAGUAACACGUGAGUAACCUGCCCUUGACUCUGGGAUAAGCCUGGGAAACUGGGUCUAAUACCGGAUACGACCAUCUGGCGCAUGUCAUGGUGGUGGAAAGCUUUUGUGGUUUUGGAUGGACUCGCGGCCUAUCAGCUUGUUGGUGGGGUAAUGGCCUACCAAGGCGACGACGGGUAGCCGGCCUGAGAGGGUGACCGGCCACACUGGGACUGAGACACGGCCCAGACUCCUACGGGAGGCAGCAGUGGGGAAUAUUGCACAAUGGGCGCAAGCCUGAUGCAGCGACGCCGCGUGAGGGAUGACGGCCUUCGGGUUGUAAACCUCUUUCAGUAGGGAAGAAGCCGUAAGGUGACGGUACCUGCAGAAGAAGCGCCGGCUAACUACGUGCCAGCAGCCGCGGUAAUACGUAGGGCGCAAGCGUUAUCCGGAAUUAUUGGGCGUAAAGAGCUCGUAGGCGGUUUGUCGCGUCUGCUGUGAAAGACCGGGGCUCAACUCCGGUUCUGCAGUGGGUACGGGCAGACUAGAGUGCAGUAGGGGAGACUGGAAUUCCUGGUGUAGCGGUGAAAUGCGCAGAUAUCAGGAGGAACACCGAUGGCGAAGGCAGGUCUCUGGGCUGUAACUGACGCUGAGGAGCGAAAGCAUGGGGAGCGAACAGGAUUAGAUACCCUGGUAGUCCAUGCCGUAAACGUUGGGCACUAGGUGUGGGGGACAUUCCACGUUUUCCGCGCCGUAGCUAACGCAUUAAGUGCCCCGCCUGGGGAGUACGGCCGCAAGGCUAAAACUCAAAGGAAUUGACGGGGGCCCGCACAAGCGGCGGAGCAUGCGGAUUAAUUCGAUGCAACGCGAAGAACCUUACCAAGGCUUGACAUGAACCGGAAAGACCUGGAAACAGGUGCCCCGCUUGCGGUCGGUUUACAGGUGGGUGCAUGGUUGUCGUCAGCUCGUGUCGUGAGAUGUUGGGGUUAAGUCCCGCAACGAGGGGCAACCCUCGUUUCUAUGUUGCCAGCGCCUUGAUGGCGGGGGACUCCUAAGGAGAACUGCCGGGGGUCAACUCCGGAGGAAAAGUGGGGGACCAACGUCCAAAUCAUCAUGGCCCCCUUAAGGUCUUGGGGCUUCACGAAUGGUAACAAUGGGCCGGGAACAAAGGGUUUGCGAUAACUGUUGAGGGUGGAAGCUUAUUCCCCACAAAAACCGGGUCUCCAAUUUCGGAAUGUGGGGUUCUGGCAAUUUGACACCCCCUGGAAAGUCGAGAGUCCCCUUAAAUAUCCCGAAACACCAAAACCCUUCCCGGGGUUAAAAAUAUCCCGGGCCCUUUGUAACACCGCCCGCCUCCAAUUUCCCAAAA